AUCUUGCGCAAUGGGCGAAAGCCUGACGCAGCAACGCCGCGUGGGGGAUGAAGGCCUUCGGGUUGUAAACCCCUUUCAGGAGGGAAGAAAUUGACGGUACCUCCAGAGGAAGCACCGGCUAACUCUGUGCCAGCAGCCGCGGUAAUACAGAGGGUGCGAGCGUUGUUCGGAAUCACUGGGCGUAAAGCGCGCGCAGGCGGGACUUGCAAGUCGGGAGUGAAAGGCCGGGGCUCAACCCCGGAGCUGCUUUCGAGACUGCGGACCUGGAGACCAGUAGGGGUUGGUGGAAUUCCCGGUGUAGCGGUGGAAUGCGUAGAUAUCGGGAAGAACACCCGUGGCGAAGGCGGCCAACUGGGCUGGAUCUGACGCUGAGGCGCGAAAGCGUGGGGAGCAAACAGG
RNAcentral lists this ribosomal RNA (399 nucleotides) under uncultured bacterium. RNAcentral describes it as "bacterial SSU rRNA". It matches the Rfam family "Bacterial small subunit ribosomal RNA", at positions 361 to 776 of the family's 1533-position model. The record is from RNAcentral.